Molecule: ribosomal RNA, 442 nt
Filed under: uncultured bacterium
Lineage: Bacteria
Description: partial 16S ribosomal RNA
Rfam family: Bacterial small subunit ribosomal RNA
Source: RNAcentral
CCUACGGGUGGCAGCAGUGGGGAAUAUUGGGCAAUGGGCGCAAGCCUGACCCAGCAACGCCGCGUGAAGGAAGAAGGCCCUCGGGUUAUAAACUUCUUUUAUCAAGGACGAAACAAAUGACGGUACUGGAUGAAUAAGCCACGGCUAACUACGGGCCAGCAGCCGCGGUAAGACGUAGGUGGCAAGCGUGAUCCGGAUUUACGGGGUGUAAAGGGCGUGGAGGCGGGACUGCAGGUCAGCGGUAAAAAUUCGGGGCUCAACCCCGUCGUGCCGUUGAAACUGAUGUUCUUGAGUGGGCGAGACGUAUGCGGAAUGCGUGGUGUAGCGGUGACCUGCAUAGCUAUCACGCAGAACUCCGAUUGCGCAGGCAGCAUACCGGCGCCCACCUGACGCUGCCGCACGACAGCGUGGGUAUCGAACAGGAUUAGAUACCCCAGUAGUC